GAACGUGAACGGGAGCAAUCCUUAGUAAAGUGGCGUACGGGUGAGUAACGCGUAGGUAAUCUACCCCAGAGUCUGGAAUAACCUGCCGAAAGGCGGGCUAAUACUGGAUAGAGCGACGGAAUCCGUAAUUGGGUUUUUCGGGAAAGGGAGGUCGUAAGAUCCCUUGCUCUGGGAUGAGCCUGCGUCCCAUCAGCUAGUUGGUAAGGUAACGGCUUACCAAGGCGAUGACGGGUAGCUGGUCUGAGAGGAUGAUCAGCCACACUGGAACUGAAACACGGUCCAGACUCCUACGGGAGGCAGCAGUGGGGAAUCUUGCGCAAUGGACGAAAGUCUGACGCAGCCACGCCGCGUGAGUGAAGAAGGCCUUCGGGUUGUAAAGCUCUGUCGCCCGGGACGAAAAUCAUUAGAGUUCACAGCUCUAGUGACUGACGGUACCGGGAGAGGAAGCACCGGCUAACUCUGUG
This 464-nucleotide ribosomal RNA is filed under the name uncultured bacterium. Its description in RNAcentral is "bacterial SSU rRNA". It matches the Rfam family "Bacterial small subunit ribosomal RNA", at positions 64 to 507 of the family's 1533-position model. The record is from RNAcentral.